Molecule: non-coding RNA, 145 nt
Filed under: human gut metagenome
Description: glmS glucosamine-6-phosphate activated ribozyme
Rfam family: glmS glucosamine-6-phosphate activated ribozyme aptamer
About the family: This entry contains a glucosamine-6-phosphate activated ribozyme that is found in the mRNA for GlmS. GlmS is an enzyme that uses fructose-6-phosphate and glutamine to generate glucosamine-6-phosphate.
Source: RNAcentral
AGAAGCGCCAGCGCUUUUCGCAGACAGGUCUGCGGAAAGACGACGAGGAGAGAGGUCAUCGAAGAUUUCGGCGGGUGCCUCUCCGUGCCGUCCGGGUGCGUACACAGCCAGGAAAUAUGCGGGCGACCGCAAAACAAAGGGGCUG